RNAcentral lists this ribosomal RNA (1346 nucleotides) under uncultured bacterium. RNAcentral describes it as "partial 16S ribosomal RNA". It matches the Rfam family "Bacterial small subunit ribosomal RNA", at positions 28 to 1381 of the family's 1533-position model. The record is from RNAcentral.
GACGAACGCUGGCGGCGUGCUUAACACAUGCAAGUCGAACGGAAAGGCCCUGCUUUUGUGGGGUGCUCGAGUGGCGAACGGGUGAGUAACACGUGAGUAACCUGCCCUUGACUUUGGGAUAACUUCAGGAAACUGGGGCUAAUACCGGAUAGGAGCUCCUGCUGCAUGGUGGGGGUUGGAAAGUUUCGGCGGUUGGGGAUGGACUCGCGGCUUAUCAGCUUGUUGGUGGGGUAGUGGCUUACCAAGGCUUUGACGGGUAGCCGGCCUGAGAGGGUGACCGGCCACAUUGGGACUGAGAUACGGCCCAGACUCCUACGGGAGGCAGCAGUGGGGAAUAUUGCACAAUGGGCGGAAGCCUGAUGCAGCAACGCCGCGUGCGGGAUGACGGCCUUCGGGUUGUAAACCGCUUUCGCCUGUGACGAAGCGUGAGUGACGGUAAUGGGUAAAGAAGCACCGGCUAACUACGUGCCAGCAGCCGCGGUGAUACGUAGGGUGCGAGCGUUGUCCGGAUUUAUUGGGCGUAAAGGGCUCGUAGGUGGUUGAUCGCGUCGGAAGUGUAAUCUUGGGGCUUAACCCUGAGCGUGCUUUCGAUACGGGUUGACUUGAGGAAGGUAGGGGAGAAUGGAAUUCCUGGUGGAGCGGUGGAAUGCGCAGAUAUCAGGAGGAACACCAGUGGCGAAGGCGGUUCUCUGGGCCUUUCCUGACGCUGAGGAGCGAAAGCGUGGGGAGCGAACAGGCUUAGAUACCCUGGUAGUCCACGCUGUAAACGGUGGGUACUAGGUGUGGGGUCCAUUCCACGGGUUCCGUGCCGUAGCUAACGCUUUAAGUACCCCGCCUGGGGAGUACGGCCGCAAGGCUAAAACUCAAAGGAAUUGACGGGGCCCCGCACAAGCGGCGGAGCAUGCGGAUUAAUUCGAUGCAACGCGUAGAACCUUACCUGGGUUUGACAUGGAUCGGGAGUGCUCAGAGAUGGGUGUGCCUCUUUUGGGGUCGGUUCACAGGUGGUGCAUGGCUGUCGUCAGCUCGUGUCGUGAGAUGUUGGGUUAAGUCCCGCAACGAGCGCAACCCUUGUUCACUGUUGCCAGCACGUUAUGGUGGGGACUCAGUGGAGACCGCCGGGGUCAACUCGGAGGAAGGUGGGGAUGACGUCAAGUCAUCAUGCCCCUUAUGUCCAGGGCUUCACGCAUGCUACAAUGGCUGGUACAGAGAGUGGCGAGCCUGUGAGGGUGAGCGAAUCUCGGAAAGCCGGUCUCAGUUCGGAUUGGGGUCUGCAACUCGACCUCAUGAAGUCGGAGUCGCUAGUAAGCGCAGAUCAGCAACGCUGCGGUGAAUACGUUCCCGGGGCA